RNAcentral lists this ribosomal RNA (253 nucleotides) under uncultured bacterium. RNAcentral describes it as "partial 16S ribosomal RNA". It matches the Rfam family "Bacterial small subunit ribosomal RNA", at positions 524 to 776 of the family's 1533-position model. The record is from RNAcentral.
GACAGAGGGUGCAAACGUUGUUCGGAAUUACUGGGCGUAAAGAGCGCGCAGGCGGUCGUUCAAGUCGAGUGUGAAAGCCCCCGGCUCAACUGGGGAGGGUCACUCGAUACUGAUCGACUUGAAGGCAGGAGAGGGAAGCGGAAUUCCCGGUGUAGUGGUGAAAUGCGCAGAUAUCAGGAGGAACACCGGUGGCGAAGGCAGGUCUCUGGGCUGACACUGACGCUCAUGCACGAAAGCGUGGGGAGCAAACAGG